RNAcentral lists this ribosomal RNA (662 nucleotides) under uncultured bacterium. Its description in RNAcentral is "bacterial SSU rRNA". It matches the Rfam family "Bacterial small subunit ribosomal RNA", at positions 139 to 788 of the family's 1533-position model. The record is from RNAcentral.
GGGGAUAACACUUGGAAACAGGUGCUAAUACCGUAUAACACUAUUUUCCGCAUGGAAGAAAGUUGAAAGGCGCUUUUGCGUCACUGAUGGAUGGACCCGCGGUGCAUUAGCUAGUUGGUGAGGUAACGGCUCACCAAGGCCACGAUGCAUAGCCGACCUGAGAGGGUGAUCGGCCACACUGGGACUGAGACACGGCCCAGACUCCUACGGGAGGCAGCAGUAGGGAAUCUUCGGCAAUGGACGAAAGUCUGACCGAGCAACGCCGCGUGAGUGAAGAAGGUUUUCGGAUCGUAAAACUCUGUUGUUAGAGAAGAACAAGGAUGAGAGUAAAAUGUUCAUCCCUUGACGGUAUCUAACCAGAAAGCCACGGCUAACUACGUGCCAGCAGCCGCGGUAAUACGUAGGUGGCAAGCGUUGUCCGGAUUUAUUGGGCGUAAAGCGAGCGCAGGCGGUUUCUUAAGUCUGAUGUGAAAGCCCCCGGCUCAACCGGGGAGGGUCAUUGGAAACUGGGAGACUUGAGUGCAGAAGAGGAGAGUGGAAUUCCAUGUGUAGCGGUGAAAUGCGUAGAUAUAUGGAGGAACACCAGUGGCGAAGGCGGCUCUCUGGUCUGUAACUGACGCUGAGGCUCGAAAGCGUGGGGAGCGAACAGGAUUAGAUACCCU